GGAGACUGCAGCAGCAUAAGCUCCCGCUGACCAAGGCCACUGCCCAGCGACCUGCUCCCACCUAUCUGCCACAAAGGCCAAAGCUCAGCUUCCAAUGUGGCUCGUUCCUGGAGGAGGCCAGCUGACCGCUUGGUGGCAAAUAGGCCACACUGAGCUCCUUCCAUCCUGGAAAGGCCAGCAGCUCACUUGGAGGGGAAGAUAUUCCAAGCCUGGGUUUGCCUUUCCCACCCGCCUACCCAACCUCCACCAGCAACACGGUCUGCGAUCUCCCCUGUGUUUCAUCCCCUGACUCGGGCCCCCUCUGACCAUCACAGCAGAGGAGGUGGGGCAGGCCCACAAGCACAGGCCUCGGGCCAGAUCACACGACACCCACUCGGAAACUGGAGUCAACAGAGAGCCGCAGCUGCUCGUACCGGGCAAGUCUCUGCGGGGUGGGACCCUGUCCCAGGACGCAGGAUUGGCGCUGAGCUCGGGAUCUCUGUGUGCACCUGCAUCGCUGGUAGGAGGACGCCCAGGAACCAAGGAGUGAGGCAGGAGCAGCCCCCGGCAUCAUCACUCCCAGUGACCCAGGAAGGGAUUUGUGCUUUUUUCCCUGCGGCUCUGGGCACUGCAGAGUUAGAGGUCCUGGUCCCCGGGGAUGGAGGGAGGGGGUAUAUCAGCGGGCACAGAGCAUGUCCAGUGACGCACAAACCACGGCUGCCCUCUGGUGCGUCGGGUUCCUUGUGGGGGGAUCACCAGGCAGGAGAGAGCACCACCGUCCUGGCAGAUCUGGAAACUGGACGGCCCCAAACUGAGUCCAAGUCCUGCAUCUGCCAGUCGUGUGAACUUGGGCAUGAGAACGCCCUUCUCUCUGCAAGAAGAUGCCCGCCCUUACCAAGGUGACUUCCAAGGACUUCAGGAACCUGAAACCUCGUCCUUGAUCGACUCGUGGUGUUGAAGGCCCUGCCAAAGCCAGCCUGGCACUGCUCUCUGGGAUGGAGACGGGAGAUGGCAUUCCGGGUCUAAAUUCUCGUGGGUGGUUCUCAGCUGUCAGGAGGUGCCAGGCUUACCUGCCAGGACCGUGGUUUUCUGUCAUUGUAACUGUGGGAAUGGCUAAGUCCUGUCUAUGACAGUCACACGAAAUAAAGUGUUCUGUGCUCCAGG
Molecule: long non-coding RNA, 1143 nt
Filed under: Homo sapiens (human)
Lineage: Eukaryota; Metazoa; Chordata; Mammalia; Primates; Hominidae
Description: HSALNT0145108
Source: RNAcentral